Molecule: transfer RNA, 76 nt
Filed under: Paenochrobactrum glaciei
Lineage: Bacteria; Pseudomonadati; Pseudomonadota; Alphaproteobacteria; Hyphomicrobiales; Brucellaceae
Also listed under: 4 other names
Description: tRNA-Phe
Rfam family: tRNA
About the family: Transfer RNA (tRNA) molecules are approximately 80 nucleotides in length.
Source: RNAcentral
GCCCGGAUAGCUCAGUUGGUAGAGCAACGGAUUGAAAAUCCGUGUGUCGGCGGUUCAAGUCCGUCUCCGGGCACCA